Molecule: non-coding RNA, 502 nt
Organism: Linepithema humile (Argentine ant)
Lineage: Eukaryota; Metazoa; Arthropoda; Insecta; Hymenoptera; Formicidae
Source: RefSeq, a predicted model, not a curated record
UUCUUAAAUAGGAGCUUGUCAGAAUAACAUUAAAAAAAUUACACGAUUAUUGGUUACAAUCUAACAAUUAUUGUUAGAUAUACAUCCAUAUUCUUCACAAGAGAACACAAUAAAUUUGAAUUUACCGAUUGGAACGCCUGAGGCACUAGAAGAAUUUAAUAAAUUGAUAACACAAGACUCCGUAUCUUUAUCACAAUAUAAAAGGAUAAUUAGAAUUAUAGGAGGAAAAGAUGCGGAACAACAUGUAAGAGAGAGAGAGAGAGAAACGCAUUAAAACUUACUCUAACUGAUCAUCUAGCUUACAAACUCUCAUGGACCGGACAAAAAAUACUAUACAAACGAGAGACAUGAAAUUUGUUGACGUCAUUAUCGAAGUAAACAUUAGUAUUAGUGGAAAGAGUAUUUCUUCCCAUUCCAUCCAAACUGUAAUUAAAAACUGGCUACAGCAUGCUGAAGAUAGGAUAAAUCAAAAUACAAAACGACAUGAAAAGAAGAAAUAAAA